UACGGAGGGUGCGAGCGUUGUUCGGAAUCACUGGGCGUAAAGGGCGUGUAGGCGGUCCGCUAAGUCUGAUGUGAAAGCCCGGGGCUCACCCCCGGAAGGGCAUUGGAAACUGACGGACUCGAGUCCCGAAGAGGAGGGUGGAAUUCCUGGUGUAGCGGUGAAAUGCGCAGAUAUCAGGAAGAACACCAAUGGCGAAGGCAGCUCUCUGGGACGGUACUGACGCUGAGACGCGAAAGCGUGGGGAGCGAACAGG
This 253-nucleotide ribosomal RNA is filed under the name uncultured bacterium. RNAcentral's name for it is "partial 16S ribosomal RNA". It matches the Rfam family "Bacterial small subunit ribosomal RNA", at positions 524 to 776 of the family's 1533-position model. The record is from RNAcentral.